UACGGAGGGUGCAAGCGUUAUCCGGAUUCACUGGGUUUAAAGGGUGCGUAGGCGGAUAGGUAAGUCCGUGGUGAAAUCCUGCAGCUUAACUGCAGAACUGCCGUGGAUACUAUCUGUCUUGAAUAUUGUGGAGGUAAGCGGAAUAUGUCAUGUAGCGGUGAAAUGCUUAGAUAUGACAUAGAACACCUAUUGCGAAGGCAGCUUACUACGCAUAUAUUGACGCUGAGGCACGAAAGCGUGGGGAUCAAACAGG
This 253-nucleotide ribosomal RNA is filed under the name uncultured bacterium. Its description in RNAcentral is "partial 16S ribosomal RNA". It matches the Rfam family "Bacterial small subunit ribosomal RNA", at positions 524 to 776 of the family's 1533-position model. The record is from RNAcentral.